This is a long non-coding RNA of Zalophus californianus (California sea lion), 2290 nucleotides long. NCBI's taxonomy places the organism in Eukaryota, Metazoa, Chordata, Mammalia, Carnivora, Otariidae. The record is from Ensembl.
UUAGGUUAUUAACUGACCUUCUAGUGUUCUGGUAAUGUACUAUUGAGUUCUAUUUAUAGAUGGCACAGUAAAAUCCUUCCCCGGACUUGCACCUAAAAUUGAGAAGGUGCCAGAACAUUAAAGACUAUGAGCCAUACACCAGGAUCAUCACAGCAAGAAGCCUGUUCCUGUUUGUAAACAGCGGACACAACUUCUCAUUCGGCAUGGAAUUUUGUUAGGAUCUGCUGUAGCAGCUUGUGAAACAGAAGCACGGGAGUACAGACUGAGCAGAACUAGCAGAGUGAAGCUGAGAACGCACUGGCCUUUGUGUGUGGUGAAUGUGUCCGGAAAGGCAAAGAAGGACGAGAUUCUCCUGUGGGGUUUCUCAUCUCCAUGGCGGAAGGUGCUGACAGCUUCAGAGAGAGCAGGAAGGCGCAAAGAAGAAGGGAGCCUGAGAUGUGUAGUCGCGGCGCUCUGAGGAGAUGAAAAGGACAUGCGGUUUUAGCCUGAACUUCCUUAUCUGUAACUAAGGAGCUGUGACUUGUGCCCUUCUCUGGAGCCACUUAGAUGCUCCGCCACACCAAUGACCUCUUGACUCCGUGUAGUUGCCUGGAAUAAUGGGCUUCGGCAUCCUUGCAUCAUCACUGCCUCAAGAAGCAGUCUUGUUUGUGACGUUCUGAUUGGUCACUCCAAGGUCAUGUGACUCUGCACCAGGGGCAGGUGAAGAAACAUUCCGGUGGUAAGUGGCUUCUUCCAUUUCUACCGCAUCAUCCCAAUCCUAGCCGCCAGCCACCAUCCUCUCUUACCUGAUCAUUGAAAUGCCUUCCUGGGUUACUCCCCGCGUCAGCUUUUAAAUUUCUCCAACCGAUUUUCCACUGGAUCGCCAGAGAGGUCUUUUGAAAAACAGAAAUGUUAUUAUGCUGUGCUCUUAGUGAAGGUACUUCAGUUGCUUUUAUUGCUCUUGGGAGAAAGACCCAAAUCUUAAAUUCUGCCGCUAGGUCCCUUAUGCUCUGUCUCUAGCUCUCUUUCCAGCUUCCACUCCCGCCCCCCGCCCCGCCUCCCCUGCCUGAAUUCAGUUCUUUGGAAAGCAUGCCCUAUGCAUCCUUGAGUCACAGAGCCUUUGCAAAUGCUGUUUAUCUGCCUGGGAAACUCUUUUUCUCUUUCUUCCUAUUUGGUUAACUUGUAUUCAUUUUACGGAUUGUAGCUCAGACAGCCAUCUCUCCCAGACUAGGUAAAGACCCAGUAUUAUAAGCUAUUGCAAGAAACAGAGGAGAAAUAUGUAUUCAAGUUAAGGGUUAAACAGAGGCUAUAAAUGGGACAGUUUGCAAGAUGCUGGCCAUGGUGCUCUUUUAUAUUAUGCCAUUCAUUCUCUACCAAAAGAUUUUGAGAGAGUCAAACACUGUCCCUGUUUUAUUUACUUUUUAAAAAAGAUUUUAUUUAUUUGAGAGAGUGAGAGAGAGCGAGAGCGAAAGAGAGAGCGCACCCAAGGGGAAAGGCAGAGGGAGAAGCAGGCUCCCCACUGAGCAGGGAGCCUGAUGUGGGGCUCGAUCCCAGGACCCUGGGAUCCUGACCUGAGCCGAAGGCAGAUGCUUAACCGACUGAGCCACCCAGGCACCCUGUCCCUAUGUUUUAAAUCAAUAAAAGGAAGCUGAAAGAUAUUUGUAAGAUGCAGCUGAGAUGUGGUAGAACCAUGACUAGAAUCCAAGUCUUUGAUCCCCAUACUUUUGUCCUUUAACAACGCUAAUGUAAGAUCAGCCAUAAUAUGGAGCAUGGACGGGACCCACGGUAGCAGGAGAAGGGUUAUUUACAUUUCAGGUCAGAGCUAUCCGCUCUGUAUGAAAGUAGCAAGAGAUGAGUUCGAAGGGUGUUAUGUAGACCAGGUAAAACCAGGUUUUUACCUGAUCAGGAAAGCCUGAUUUCAGUGAUAAAAAUGCAGAUGAGCUCCUGUAAUGAUAGGUUCUUAUGAGAACCAGGCCUUAAAAAAGCUUAGAACAAAGGGUGCAGCAUCCAGACUACACCUGUAGUGAGAGCCUUAACAACUAGAUAGUGACUGUGUCUCAAACAAACAAAAUAGGACGGUGAACAAGGCCCAAGUUGAGAACAUGUUUACCAAAGGGCACAGGCAGGAGCAGUGAAGAGCAUGCUCUCGCUUGAAGGUCAAGUCCUUCACCAAACGCUCUCUGAUCACCCUGGCCAAAAGGCAAUCUCCCUCCUUGCUCCAGCCAUUCUCCGCGUUAAUGCUUCAUUUUGACAGCCCUCAAAGGCACGGUUCCACAGAAGCAAGACUUUUACUAAUUCCUAAAGUGGGUGG